RNAcentral lists this transfer RNA (72 nucleotides) under Minisyncoccota bacterium. Its description in RNAcentral is "tRNA-Ile". It matches the Rfam family "tRNA". From Rfam's summary of the family: Transfer RNA (tRNA) molecules are approximately 80 nucleotides in length. Their secondary structure includes four short double-helical elements and three loops (D, anti-codon, and T loops). Further hydrogen bonds mediate the characteristic L-shaped molecular structure. tRNAs have two regions of fundamental functional importance: the anti-codon, which is responsible for specific mRNA codon recognition, and the 3' end, to which the tRNAs corresponding amino acid is attached (by aminoacyl-tRNA synthetases). tRNAs cope with the degeneracy of the genetic code in two manners: having more than one tRNA (with a specific anti-codon) for a particular amino acid; and 'wobble' base-pairing, i.e. permitting non-standard base-pairing at the 3rd anti-codon position. Lineage: Bacteria; Bacillati; Minisyncoccota. The record is from RNAcentral.
GCACGCGUAGCUCAAUGGUAGAGCAUUCGCCUUAUACGCGACUGGUUCUAGGUUCGAGUCCUAGCGCGUGCA